This 253-nucleotide ribosomal RNA is filed under the name uncultured bacterium. RNAcentral's name for it is "partial 16S ribosomal RNA". It matches the Rfam family "Bacterial small subunit ribosomal RNA", at positions 524 to 776 of the family's 1533-position model. The record is from RNAcentral.
UACGUAGUAGGCAAGCGUUGUCCGGAAUGACUGGGCGUAAAGGGUGCGUAGGUGGUUUGGCAAGUUAGUAGCGUAACCCCGGGGCUCAACCUCGGAACUACUACUAAAACUGUCGGACUUGAGUGCAGGAGGGGCAAUUGGAAUUCCUAGUGUAGCGGUGGAAUGCGUAGAUAUUAGGAGGAACACCAGUGGCGAAGGCGAAUUGCUGGACUGUAACUGACACUGAGGCACGAAAGCGUGGGGAGCAAACAGG